AGCAGCAUGGACACACCGGGAUGACCGGCGCGGGGACACACAGCACUGGCGAGAAGAAGGGCGUCAUGGAGAACAUCAAGGAAAAGCUCCCUGGUGGCCACAGUGACCACCAGCAGACCGGUGGAGCCUACGGGCAGCAGGGACACACCGGCACGGCGACACAUGGCACCCCUGCCGGCGGCGGCACCUACGGGCAGCAUGGACACGCUGGAGUGAUCGGCACGGAGACGCAUGGCACCACGGCCACCGGCGGCACCCAUGGGCAGCACGGACACACCGGAACGACUGGCACUGGGACACACGGCUCCGACGGGAUCGGCGAGAAGAAGAGCCUCAUGGACAAGAUCAAGGAUAAGCUGCCUGGACAGCACUGAGCCCGGUCUGCCCGCGGCCGCUACCCUUGCAGAAUAAUAACCCCACCGUGUAUAAGUUGAUUGAGUCUAGUUCACCUAGCUCACUUGGUCGUUGGAGGAGAGAAUGUAUUAUGUAUCUUGGUUUAAGUUUUCACGGACAACAGUGUGUUCACAGUUUUCUUCUGUUUACACUCUGUAGUGCAAAUUUCGUUUUUGUUCUUUUUUUUUGUCCAUCUUAUCCAAGAGACAGACGCAGCGACCA
Molecule: long non-coding RNA, 615 nt
Filed under: Triticum aestivum (bread wheat)
Lineage: Eukaryota; Viridiplantae; Streptophyta; Magnoliopsida; Poales; Poaceae
Description: long non-coding RNA (TAES_LNC013699)
Source: RNAcentral